RNAcentral lists this ribosomal RNA (253 nucleotides) under uncultured bacterium. RNAcentral describes it as "partial 16S ribosomal RNA". It matches the Rfam family "Bacterial small subunit ribosomal RNA", at positions 524 to 776 of the family's 1533-position model. The record is from RNAcentral.
UACGUAGGGUGCAAGCGUUAAUCGGAAUUACUGGGCGUAAAGCGUGCGCAGGCGGUUUUGUAAGUCUGUCGUGAAAGCCCCGGGCUCAACCUGGGAAUUGCAUUGGAGACUGCAAGGCUAGAAUCUGGCAGAGGGGGGUAGAAUUCCACGUGUAGCAGUGAAAUGCGUAGAGAUGUGGAGGAACACCGAUGGCGAAGGCAGCCCCCUGGGUCAAGAUUGACGCUCAUGCACGAAAGCGUGGGCAGCAAACAGG